This 164-nucleotide ribosomal RNA is filed under the name uncultured bacterium. RNAcentral's name for it is "partial 16S rRNA". It matches the Rfam family "Bacterial small subunit ribosomal RNA", at positions 355 to 511 of the family's 1533-position model. The record is from RNAcentral.
UAGGGAAUCUUCCACAAUGGACGCAAGUCUGAUGGAGCAACACCGCGUGAGUGAAGAAGGGUUUCGGCUCGUAAAGCUCUGUUGUUAAAGAAGAACACGUAUGAGAGUAACUGUUCAUACGUUGACGGUAUUUAACCAGAAAGCCACGGCUAACUACGUGCCGG